Molecule: ribosomal RNA, 253 nt
Filed under: uncultured bacterium
Lineage: Bacteria
Description: partial 16S ribosomal RNA
Rfam family: Bacterial small subunit ribosomal RNA
Source: RNAcentral
UACGUAGGGUGCGAGCGUUGUCCGGAAUUAUUGGGCGUAAAGGGCUCGUAGGCGGUCUGUUGCGUCAGGAGUGAAAACCCGGGGCUCAACCCCGGGCCUGCAUUCGAUACGGGCAGACUAGAGUUCGGUAGGGGAGUCUGGAAUUCCUGGUGUAGCGGUGAAAUGCGCAGAUAUCAGGAGGAACACCGGUGGCGAAGGCGGGACUCUGGGCCGAUACUGACGCUGAGGAGCGAAAGCGUGGGGAGCGAACAGG